GUCGCUGCCAAUUCAGCGACCGGGCCUGAGAACCCGGCAAGAUGCAGGCGCACCAAGCGCCCCCAAACCCGAUUUGCAGGCGUUUUUUUU
Molecule: small RNA, 90 nt
Filed under: Pseudomonas libanensis
Lineage: Bacteria; Pseudomonadati; Pseudomonadota; Gammaproteobacteria; Pseudomonadales; Pseudomonadaceae
Description: isrK
Source: RNAcentral